UCGACGGAGUUAUCAUUUCGAAGCAAUUAGCUUGCUAAGAGUGGAAGAGAGGAUAACUUAGUGGCGGACGGGUGAGUAACGCGUGGGGAACCUGCCCUGCACCGGGGGAUAACACCUGGAAACAGGUGCUAAUACCGCAUAAGCGCACGAGGCCGCAUGGCCAGGUGUGAAAAACUAAGGUGGUGCAGGAUGGACCCGCGUCUGAUUAGCUUGUUGGUAGGGUAACGGCCUACCAAGGCGACGAUCAGUAGCCGGCCUGAGAGGGUGAACGGCCACAUUGGGACUGAGACACGGCCCAAACUCCUACGGGAGGCAGCAGUGGGGAAUAUUGGACAAUGGGGGAAACCCUGAUCCAGCGACGCCGCGUGAGUGAAGAAGUAUUUCGGUAUGUAAAGCUCUAUCAGCAGGGAAGAAAAUGACGGUACCUGACUAAGAAGCCCCGGCUAACUACGUGCCAGCAGCCGCGGUAAUACGUAGGGGGCAAGCGUUAUCCGGAUUUACUGGGUGUAAAGGGAGCGUAGACGGCAUAGCAAGUCUGAUGUGAAAGAUCGGGGCUCAACCCCGGGCCUGCAUUGGAAACUGUUAAGCUGGAGUACAGGAGAGGUAAGCGGAAUUCCUAGUGUAGCGGUGAAAUGCGUAGAUAUUAGGAGGAACACCAGUGGCGAAGGCGGCUUACUGGACUGUAACUGACGUUGAGGCUCGAAAGCGUGGGGAGCAAACAGGAUUAGAUACCCUGGUAGUCCACGCCGUAAACGAUGAUUACUAGGUGUCGGUGGGCAUGGGCCCA
RNAcentral lists this ribosomal RNA (787 nucleotides) under uncultured bacterium. RNAcentral describes it as "bacterial SSU rRNA". It matches the Rfam family "Bacterial small subunit ribosomal RNA", at positions 39 to 839 of the family's 1533-position model. The record is from RNAcentral.